RNAcentral lists this ribosomal RNA (421 nucleotides) under uncultured bacterium. Its description in RNAcentral is "bacterial SSU rRNA". It matches the Rfam family "Bacterial small subunit ribosomal RNA", at positions 355 to 774 of the family's 1533-position model. The record is from RNAcentral.
UAAGGAAUAUUGGUCAAUGGACGCAAGUCUGAACCAGCCAUGCCGCGUGAAGGAUGAAGGUCCUCUGGAUUGUAAACUUCUUUUAUCUGGGACGAAAACGGGAUUUUUAUCUCAAUUGACGGUACCAGAGGAAUAAGCAUCGGCUAACUUCGUGCCAGCAGCCGCGGUAAUACGAAGGAUGCAAGCGUUAUCCGGAAUUAUUGGGUUUAAAGGGUGCGUAGGCGGACUAAUAAGUCAGUGGUGAAAGUCUGCAGCUUAACUGCAGAAUUGCCAUUGAUACUGUUAGUCUUGAGUACAGUUGAGGUAGGCGGAAUGUGUCAUGUAGCGGUGAAAUGCUUAGAUAUGACACAGAACACCGAUUGCGAAGGCAGCUUGCUAAGCUGUAACUGACGCUGAGGCACGAAAGCGUGGGGAGCAAACA